Limulus polyphemus (Atlantic horseshoe crab) is the source of this 1013-nucleotide long non-coding RNA. RefSeq lists it as uncharacterized. Lineage: Eukaryota; Metazoa; Arthropoda; Merostomata; Xiphosura; Limulidae. The transcript has 3 exons. The record is from RefSeq and is a predicted model, not a curated record.
AAUUCGCUCCAGUUCCGAACUCCGUUUACUCAUUCUAUUUUUAUUUAUUUGUUUAUAAAUACGUAAUUCUGAAGUGAAUAAAUUAUGUAUGCUCGUCCAAUGAAUUUAUAGUAUCCGUGUCCUGGGAAGUCGUGGCCCAGUAGUUAGUGUGCCGGACUGUGAGUCUAUGUUUACAUCUCGUUACUAUAGCCCAUUGUGUAGCUGUGAGCUUAACAACAACCAACCAACCACAUCUUCUAAGUUCAAAAUAGGAGCGGAAAUUUGUAAACAACACCUGGCGUGGAAAGAUGACGAGAUAAAAACAUUUUUCUUCUUUGAUCAUCACAUAAAUAUUUAGCUAAAUAAUCUCAAUCGAAACUAUGUGGACCCUGCAAAAGAGCUGGAACGUUUUACACAUCGAAGAGAAGCAGUAUUUCUUCUGGCGACACUCUGGACUCACGUCGAGAGUCAUUAUAGACAGAAUUCGAGGGCCGCUGACGUGGCUGAAACCAGAAUUGUUUACGUGGAUGAUAAUUUCUUUCUUUGCUCCGAACAGUUCCGAUUCAAUUGUGCCAAGAAUCGAUUCAUGUGUAAUAAGACUUUGUGAACAGUCUUAUGUCGUGUAGGACAGGACAUAUUUACGCUGCGUCGUGUCUGUGGAGAUACUCCAAGGAGAGAUUCUCGGUCACCAAGACAAGUUAUUGUGGCCAAGAAACAUUUGAAACCACACGGAUAUCACUUCACGGAGACCAAACUUUUGAAACCACUGCGAUUUGUUCGGAUAUUACUCCGGGAAAACAAAGAAACGUUUCACUCCACUGCGUUUGUAGUGGACUUAAUUCACAAAAUCAAAGGAAUAUUCGAAACAGCAGUGAUUUGAGACCGACACUACUUGAAGAUAAUUAAAAAGCUGAGAACAGUCUUUUCAUGAACAUUCCAUAACCUUAUCUACUGUCAGUUAUAGAACGGAAUAUGGAAACUGUUUCUUUUCAAUAUCAUCUCAUCAGUUCGUGUUUGUUAAGUAAAGGUAAACA